CUACAGAAGGUGUUCACAAAAACAAAAAGGGGUUUUUUACUUUCCCUAACAGAUGUUUGGCUCACAUGAUAUACAAAUCCAAAGCAGAGGCGGAGAAGGUUUUCAGAGAGGCCGAUGAUAUUGAAAUCCACGGAGCAAAGAUGACCGUGCUGUAUGUGGACAACACACCGAAACGCAAUUGGCGAAAAGAAAAGAUACAGAAAAUUAAGACUGUUAAGAAGAAAAAGAAGCAAAAGAAACUGCAGAAAUUGCUAGCUGGACAGUAAUGGACAAGGAAUGACUGGCAGCAGUGAAGUGAGAAUGAUAAAUGGAACAAUUGAGAAAUGUAUGAAUAUAUUUGCUGAAUUGGUCACUCUUUGAUCUUGGAAAAUAUGCAGCGGAAAAAUUAUUUUUUUUUCCUUUUUUUUACCAGAUGCAUAUUUUUGUCCUUCAUGUUCUUCCUGAAUAAAAGUUUGAAAUCUAAUUAAA
Molecule: long non-coding RNA, 468 nt
Organism: Penaeus chinensis
Lineage: Eukaryota; Metazoa; Arthropoda; Malacostraca; Decapoda; Penaeidae
Exons: 3
Source: RefSeq, a predicted model, not a curated record